GAUGAAGAACGUACCGAAAUGCGAUAAGUAAUGUGAAUUGCAGAAUUCAGUGAAUCAUCGAAUCUUUGAACGCACAUUGCGCCCGCCAGUAUUCUGGCGGGCAUGCCUGUUCGAGCGUCAUUACAACCCUCAGGCCCCCGGGCCUGGCGUUGGGGAUCGGCGGAGCCCCCCGUGGGCACACGCCGUCCCCCAAAUGCAGUGGCGGUCCCGCCGCAGCUUCCAUCGCGUAGUAGCUAACACCUCGCGACUGGAGAGCGGCGCGGCCACGCCGUAAAACACCCAACUCUUCUGAAGUUGACCUCGAAUCAGGUAGGAAUACCCGCUGAACUUAAGCAUAUCAAUAAGCGGAGGA
Molecule: unclassified non-coding RNA, 352 nt
Filed under: soil metagenome
Description: partial contains 5.8S ribosomal RNA, internal transcribed spacer 2, and large subunit ribosomal RNA
Rfam family: 5.8S ribosomal RNA (bases 1-120)
Source: RNAcentral